GAGCGGAACGAUCCUAGCUUGCUAGGAGGCGUCGAGCGGCGGACGGGUGAGUAAUGCAUAGGAAUCUACCCAGUCGUGGGGGAUAACCUGAGGAAACUCAGGCUAAUACCGCAUACGUCCUACGGGAGAAAGCGGGGGCUCUUCGGACCUCGCGCGAUUGGAUGAGCCUAUGUCGGAUUAGCUGGUUGGUGAGGUAACGGCUCACCAAGGCGACGAUCCGUAGCUGGUCUGAGAGGAUGAUCAGCCACACCGGGACUGAGACACGGCCCGGACUCCUACGGGAGGCAGCAGUGGGGAAUAUUGGACAAUGGGCGCAAGCCUGAUCCAGCCAUGCCGCGUGUGUGAAGAAGGCUUUCGGGUUGUAAAGCACUUUCAGCGAGGAAGAAAGCGUGCCGGCCAAUACCCGGUACGGACGACAUCACUCGCAGAAGAAGCACCGGCUAACUCCGUGCCAGCAGCCGCGGUAAUACGGAGGGUGCAAGCGUUAAUCGGAAUUACUGGGCGUAAAGCGCGCGUAGGCGGCGUGUCACGCCGGGUGUGAAAGCCCCGGGCUCAACCUGGGAACGGCAUCCGGAACGGGCAGGCUAGAGUGCAGGAGAGGAAGGUAGAAUUCCCGGUGUAGCGGUGAAAUGCGUAGAGAUCGGGAGGAAUACCAGUGGCGAAGGCGGCCUUCUGGACUGACACUGACGCUGAGGUGCGAAAGCGUGGGUAGCAAACAGGAUUAGAUACCCUGGUAGUCCACGCCGUAAACGAUGUCGACUAGCCGUUGGGUCCCUUGAGGACUUAGUGGCGCAGUUAAC
Molecule: ribosomal RNA, 800 nt
Filed under: Chromohalobacter sp. K177
Lineage: Bacteria; Pseudomonadati; Pseudomonadota; Gammaproteobacteria; Oceanospirillales; Halomonadaceae
Description: bacterial SSU rRNA
Rfam family: Bacterial small subunit ribosomal RNA
Source: RNAcentral